Long non-coding RNA from Panthera uncia (snow leopard), 972 nucleotides. RefSeq lists it as uncharacterized. The transcript is spliced from 4 exons. Lineage: Eukaryota; Metazoa; Chordata; Mammalia; Carnivora; Felidae. The record is from RefSeq and is a predicted model, not a curated record.
AUUCCCCGCUCCUUCUCCUUCGUAGAGAACUGGAUCAUCAGCAUACCAUUCUGAAACACAGACCAUGGGAAUAAGUUCCAAAUGAGAAAUACUGUGCAGCCACGGUGCCUUCUACUAGUUGUUAUCGUCAGACCAAACUGCAGAACAGAAUCAGAACGCGGCCAGGAGUUAGCCUGACACACAAGCCGGGCUUAACACAGAAGACCACGGCUCCAAAGAGCACCAAUGAGCUGCCUGAGUUGCCUGUGCCAAUAUUGACCAAUCACAAUUAGGCUCUUCCAACCAAUCACGAUUAGGCUCUUCAACCAAUCACGAUUAGGCUCUUCCAACCAAUUGGGAUGAAGUGCUUUUUUUUCGUUUUCCUAUUAGCAUAUCGGACCUGAGUGGGAACCUGAGAGGGUACUUUCCUUAUGUAAGUGGGAGAAAAAGCAACUGAAUCAAAAGCCCAAGUUCUUCCAAGAAGUCCCAGAAAGUGGUCUUUACUCCUUCCCAUCACUCCCCAACAUCACCUAAAUCCAGGAGAAACUGAGAUGCCCCAGAAGCUCACCUCUGCAAGUGCCAUCAUGAAUAAUGCCAACACCAAGAAUCUGACCACGAGUUCUGAUGGUAGAGGCUGAGACAGGUGUUGGAAGUUGACUUGAGGACAUGCCAGGAAGUAAGGAAGCAGAGGAAACCAUCUUGACGGAGACAAAGGAGACAGGGACCUCCCCUUUCAGCUUCCAGAGUGGACAGUGGCUGCUUGAACUUACAGACUGCUAAAGUCUCAUGCUGUGAGAGAGAGAGAAUUCCCUAAAAGGGAAGUUGGGAUACAGCAUUGUCGUGGGUAGCUGAGAAAUGCCAAAAUCCACCACGCACAUCAGAUAAGAAAAGAGGGCUUUACUACAGGCUAUUCUUUUUUGCAUGUAACAACCAUUUGUUGGUUUCCAAAGUUGAAUGCCCUCUGCUAGCUAACAGAGAAAAAAGUUGAACAAG